GCCUGGGUGGCUCAGUGGUUGAGCACCUGCCUUGGGCUCAGGUUGUGAUCCCAGGCU
This is a non-coding RNA of Canis lupus familiaris (dog), 57 nucleotides long. NCBI's taxonomy places the organism in Eukaryota, Metazoa, Chordata, Mammalia, Carnivora, Canidae. The record is from Rfam.